RNAcentral lists this non-coding RNA (31 nucleotides) under Rattus norvegicus (Norway rat). Lineage: Eukaryota; Metazoa; Chordata; Mammalia; Rodentia; Muridae. The record is from RNAcentral.
UAAAAACCUAGCCCUCUGGACACCCAAAUGA